RNAcentral lists this ribosomal RNA (882 nucleotides) under uncultured bacterium. Its description in RNAcentral is "bacterial SSU rRNA". It matches the Rfam family "Bacterial small subunit ribosomal RNA", at positions 54 to 917 of the family's 1533-position model. The record is from RNAcentral.
CAUGCAAGUCGAGCGAACGGACGAGAAGCUUGCUUCUCUGAUGUUAGCGGCGGACGGGUGAGUAACACGUGGAUAACCUACCUAUAAGACUGGGAUAACUUCGGGAAACCGGAGCUAAUACCGGAUAAUAUUUUGAACCGCAUGGUUCAAAAGUGAAAGACGGUCUUGCUGUCACUUAUAGAUGGAUCCGCGCUGCAUUAGCUAGUUGGUAAGGUAACGGCUUACCAAGGCAACGAUGCAUAGCCGACCUGAGAGGGUGAUCGGCCACACUGGAACUGAGACACGGUCCAGACUCCUACGGGAGGCAGCAGUAGGGAAUCUUCCGCAAUGGGCGAAAGCCUGACGGAGCAACGCCGCGUGAGUGAUGAAGGUCUUCGGAUCGUAAAACUCUGUUAUUAGGGAAGAACAUAUGUGUAAGUAACUGUGCACAUCUUGACGGUACCUAAUCAGAAAGCCACGGCUAACUACGUGCCAGCAGCCGCGGUAAUACGUAGGUGGCAAGCGUUAUCCGGAAUUAUUGGGCGUAAAGCGCGCGUAGGCGGUUUUUUAAGUCUGAUGUGAAAGCCCACGGCUCAACCGUGGAGGGUCAUUGGAAACUGGAAAACUUGAGUGCAGAAGAGGAAAGUGGAAUUCCAUGUGUAGCGGUGAAAUGCGCAGAGAUAUGGAGGAACACCAGUGGCGAAGGCGACUUUCUGGUCUGUAACUGACGCUGAUGUGCGAAAGCGUGGGGAUCAAACAGGAUUAGAUACCCUGGUAGUCCACGCCGUAAACGAUGAGUGCUAAGUGUUAGGGGGUUUCCGCCCCUUAGUGCUGCAGCUAACGCAUUAAGCACUCCGCCUGGGGAGUACGACCGCAAGGUUGAAACUCAAAGGAAUUGACGGC